AACGAACGCUGGCGGCAUGCCUAACACAUGCAAGUCGAACGAGACCUUCGGGCCUAGUGGCGCACGGGUGCGUAACGCGUGGGAACCUGCCCUUAGGUUAGGUAUAACUCCCCGAAAGGGGUGUUAAUACCGGUUGAUCUCUUAGCACAAAAGAUGUUUCGCCUUUGGAUGGGCCCGGGUUGGAUUAGCUAGUUGGUAGGGUAAAAGCCUACCAAGGCGACGAUCCAUGGCUGGUCUGAGAGCAGGACCAUGCACGCUGGGACUGCGACACGGGCCAGACUCGGACGGGGGGCAGCAGUGUAGAGUAUUGUGCAAGGAGCGAAAGCCUAGUCCAGCAAUGCCGCGUGAGUGAUGAAGGCCUUAGGAUUGUAAAGCUCUUUUAGCCGAGAUGAUAAUGACAGUACCGGGUGAAGAAGCACCGGCUAACUCCGUG
This 433-nucleotide ribosomal RNA is filed under the name uncultured bacterium. RNAcentral's name for it is "partial 16S ribosomal RNA". It matches the Rfam family "Bacterial small subunit ribosomal RNA", at positions 29 to 507 of the family's 1533-position model. The record is from RNAcentral.